GACGAACGCUGGCGGCGUGCCUAAUACAUGCAAGUAGAACGCUGAAGCGAGGAGCUUGCUCUUCUUGGAUGAGUUGCGCACGGGUGAGUAACGCGUAGGUAACCUGCCUUGUAGCGGGGGAUAACUAUUGGAAACGAUAGCUAAUACCGCAUAACAAUGGAUGACACAUGUCAUUUAUUUGAAAGGGGCAAUUGCUCCACUACAAGAUGGACCUGCGUUGUAUUAGCUAGUAGGUGAGGUAAUGGCUCACCUAGGCGACGAUACAUAGCCGACCUGAGAGGGGGAUCGGCCACACUGGGACUGAGACACGGCCCAGACUCCUACGGGAGGCAGCAGUAGGGAAUCUUCGGCAAUGGGGGCAACCCUGACCGAGCAACGCCGCGUGAGUGAAGAAGGUUUUCGGAUCGUAAAGCUCUGUUGUAAGUCAAGAAAGGGUGUGAGAGUGGAAAGUUCACACUGUGACGGUAGCUUACCAGAAAGGGACGGCUAACUACGUG
This 497-nucleotide ribosomal RNA is filed under the name uncultured bacterium. RNAcentral's name for it is "partial 16S ribosomal RNA". It matches the Rfam family "Bacterial small subunit ribosomal RNA", at positions 28 to 507 of the family's 1533-position model. The record is from RNAcentral.